Molecule: transfer RNA, 82 nt
Filed under: Danionella translucida
Lineage: Eukaryota; Metazoa; Chordata; Actinopteri; Cypriniformes; Danionidae
Also listed under: 1 other name
Rfam family: tRNA
About the family: Transfer RNA (tRNA) molecules are approximately 80 nucleotides in length.
Source: Rfam by way of RNAcentral
GUUGUCGUGGCCGAGUGGUUAAGGUGAUGGACUUGAAAUCCAUUGGGGUUUCCCCGCGCAGGUUCAAAUCUUGCCGAUAACG